Molecule: long non-coding RNA, 5840 nt
Organism: Monomorium pharaonis (pharaoh ant)
Lineage: Eukaryota; Metazoa; Arthropoda; Insecta; Hymenoptera; Formicidae
Exons: 4
Source: RefSeq, a predicted model, not a curated record
GCGCGACGCCGUGGCAGCACUGAUCGGUGACGUCGCGGCGCUGCGCGUUCGCCUGCUGCGUACGUGUUGUGUGUGCGUGUGUACGUGUGUUCGUGCGCGAAAACGAGGUGCCGGCGCAGCAAACGAAGAACGAAGGAUGGAUUUCUGCCGGAAAGAAAUCCACGUCGGUGAUGGGCUGCUCGCUAACGACUCGCGGAUCACGUCCGUCGACUUCUCAAUCUUCGACAGCGAGGGAAGAAACGGACCUGAAGUAAGACGCACGAGCGACUUCAGGAUGAACUAUGACGCGAAUUAUGUGCCAAAUCAUACACCAAGCGUGCGUUCAAGCAGCCAUUACCAUUCGACCAUCGUAGUUUGUGUGUAUAACGAAUCAUCGGACUCUGACGCCUGCUAAUGACGGAAUGAAUUAUGCAGUCCAGACUUCAGUUCGUUCGACAGAUUAUGGUUGCAUCCACAUGAUGUCAGUGCACAGCUAGAUAAAUACGCGAUCGGAUCUGCAGCAGAUUUUGCGCCGGUGCGUUCGAUGGGGAAUAGCGAUGAGUAUGCGAAUGACAAAAGUGCACUUGCACACCGCCUAACGACGGCCUGCAGCCGCAGGACGAGACCACUCCACGAUUCCAACUGCCGGCGGCGUCCUCUCCACGAGUCAGUGAGUAGGAAUAUCUAGCGACUAGAUAUUUGAGCAGUGAUGCCACGACAUUGAACGUCAGAAACCAUGCUGGGAACUGGUAGGUGCCAGUCGUUUACUAACUAUCGGAUGUCGGUUUUGUCAAGCGAGUGUUACCGUCUCUGACGUCAUGUAGAGAGAGAGAGAGAGAGACACGAAACCUUUAAUGUGAGCACCUUGAUGUCGAAAGCGUCAAGAGACACACGUGGUUGUAAAAAUAUAUACAUAGUGCUACGAAAUGCGCGGACUAUUUUAUGAUAAUGAAAUAUAAAUACGAUUUAUUCAAUUUCCCCCUCAACUGCGGUUGUCAUGGAGAUUGCAACAAAGUAUCAUUACGAGUGUUAAAUGCAGUAUGCAACGGCAGUUGAAAUGCGAAAGGAUCGAUCAUGUUAGAUGACGCAGAGUUUUCUUAAAAUGUUGAAUAAUAUUGAAUAAACGUAUGCUUUGUUUAUUUAUUUUUCGCAACUAUUAUUUAUAAAGAAUUAUAACAGUGACUUUGGCAUUUCUCUAGUUUCGGUAUGUUGUGUAGGCACAAAUACUUUUUGUAACUAAAAUAUUUCAAUAAUAAGUAGGAUUAGACUGAUAUAUAUAUAUGAUGAAUAACACAAGAAAUACGAAGAAACUUUGUUUAAUAAUAUUUUCUUGUCAGUAAUUACAUACAUUUUUCAGUUCUAUAAAUUAUGUACUACUAUGGUUGUCGAAAAACCAAUUAAAAUUAGAACUUAUAUCUCAAAUUAACUUAAUUGUCAGAUUUAAUAAGUGACAUGAAAAUAUUAUUAAACACGAAGAUUUGCAUCGAUCGAAAAAUGAUACUUUUCAUUUCUAUAUAAAAUAUUCCAACUUGCAAUAAUAAAAUUUUAUAUCUAUUUGAAAUAUAAAUACAAAUCUAAAAAAUAUUUUACAAUCUUUAUAACAUACUUUUGCACUUAUACUUAUUGUACUAUCAAAUUAGAAACACUAACAAUAAGACUUAUAAUCAUCUCACACGACUUUAACAAAAAAUGCAAUUGAAGAAAUAUUUUGAUUACAUUAUAAUAUGAAUGUAUAAAAAACUGAUCUGAAUAAUAAGUUGUAAUAAUCCUUAUGUAUUUUUUAAAUUAAUAAAAUAUUCUUGUUUUCAGUAAAUUUGCAUUGCACCCAAACCGAUUUCUCAAUGGACGAUCUACCGCGAAAGGCAAAUAGAGAGUCGCACGCGAGAACAUUCCGCCCGUCGAUCGGGUUGACCUAAAGAGUCAUCGCUACGUGACAUUGUUACUUUUCAAAGGUUAUCGUCGCGAAUUAUCCGCGCGAGUCGGGAGAGCGCGCGAAAUCCUCGUCGAGAGCUCGUCAUGCCGGAACCAUGCUCGAUAGUCGGGAGGCACGUUCCCGAGCGUGCGCCCGUCUUUACGGCACUCUGUCGCGCAAGUCGUUAACUGCCUGAGGCCCGCGGGGCCCAGGAAACGCGGGGCUGCCUCCACGAUGAGAUCUCCACCUCGUGACCCUAUGUCAUGGAGCGAUAUUUACGUCGCCGGUAAACGCCGGCGAGCUGAGAAUCGUCUCUCGUCACGCUCCGGAUGUGUAAAGAGCAAAAUGGAGCAAGCAUCGACACGACAACGGUGUGUCUUACACGGGAGAUGAAUAUGAGCGAUAUGCACGUAUAUUCCUGAUGUUGCCACGGACUAUACACUGGAAACUAGGACAGUUACUUUUGACAACUUCGAACUCUCUAAAACGGAAUCAGUGUAUUAUUUAUUGAAAGGCAGUGAAUAAUUUGAUUUCAGUGCUUAUAAUUUUGUGAUAUGUGUACUAUCUUUUAUUGAUAACACAAUGAUUCUAAUAAGAGUCAAUAAGACCCCCUCCUCUCUCUUAAUCAGUGAAUCAUCACUGAUCACAAUUAUAAGUAUAUCACUGCAAAUUAAUAAGAUUUUAUUGAUUCAGAUUUAGAGAGAAUUCUAAUUUUCAAAGCUUGAAAAUUGUCAAAAAUAACAGAUCUAUUGAAAACGUGGAUUCCAGGUAAAUACACGCUUUGUACGAGUAAGUAUACGUGUGUAAAAUUCUAAAUACUGAAAUAUAUAUGUGUAUUAAGAAAAAGAUUAGAGGGAUUUUAUACGCAGAAGUCAAGAUGGAUAGGUAGAAUAAAUCUUGUGAAUCGUUUUCUCAGACAGCAAAUUUUCCUGUAAUAAUUUGACAUUUAUCUAGACGUAUAUAAAACUUGCCAUUUCGCUUUAUUCUAUUUAUGUAUCUCGUAACGUGCAGAAAGUCGUGCACAUGACAUGCUCGUAAACGUCAUCAUCAACAAGUUUAAUAGUAAUAUCGCGCAACACAUAGCUAAUGUAUUCCUAAAGAUGAGAUCGGAUUGUCAAUCAUAUGACAAUCUCUGUCAAGGAAAAAGCCAUUUCUUAAAAGCAUUAAUUGAAGUUAAAGUAAUGAAUGUAUGAAGCUCGCGAAACAAUAAUUGAAACUUCAAACAGUUUCUCCUACGUAGAAGUACAAACACCUAUUGAAAAAUAUAUGAUACUUAAUCCCUACAUAUUUCAGUUAUUUAGUUAUUAAGUUUUUUGAGAGCUAUUUGAACCAAUUAUUUCUCACGUAUCGGGCACAAUUUCUAUGACGAUUAUCGUCGUAAGAUUUCUCUAAUUGAAAUCGUGACAAUUAAGGAUUAUAAGCAAAAUCGAAGAAAGAAUUCUGAUAGGAUAUACGAUCGAUUUGCAUACGCUUAUGAUCAUUCGCCGCUCCUCGUAAACGGGCGAAAACACCAUACUUGGAGUGACGGAAUCGCAUCGGCAGCCAUACUUUAAGGACACUUGGAUUCGAGUUGAAAACGAUAUCAACGCACGAUCGGCGUCUCUCGACUGAAGUUUAUGAACGUGCUCGGGGGGCCGUUGACACCACCGGCCCGAUCUAACCCCGGAGGUAAGCGGCAUUCGCACCGCGAGAAUUCGCAUAAUUGCUGACGGAUGCUAAUGCGCCCCGCCGUGUCACGCUGCGCAGGAAGAAAAACCAGAUUCGCAAGUUCCACAAGCGUGGCCACGCCGAGGUCCUGGGAUUAUCGAAGUGGACCUUGGAGAUGAGCACGAGAAGUAGUUUAGGCGAUACUUCGGGUAUCCGAUGACUUCUGAAAUCAUUCGACCUUUUUUUUUUACCACCAACCGCGGAUCGUCAACACAUGUACGCCUUUGAUUAUUUAUGGUUCUACCUGAAUGGUUGAAUUCACGACGAAUGUCUACAAGGAAGAAAUCGUUCAAUUAGUAUUAAUUGUAUAUUAAUGCGCGAGUUGUCGAAACGACUAAAUAUAUCUCUCCAAAUGACAUCAGCGCAGAAAUUGACGUGACUAUUCGAAUACGAUAAAUGAUUUAACGAUAAAACGAAGCGCGAUGUGAGUCACAGUUUAAGCGGGAUGAAAUUAAUAAUCUUUCUUUAUAUACUGGACUAUUUCAUUCUCAGGACAUAACGCAGAUUUGAGCAAUUAAUAAUUUUGUGCAAACUUCUUAGGUUUAAUAAUAACAUGCAAGAUUCUGCGUAAUUUAUUCCAAUUUGCAUGGUCAUUUGCAUGAUAGAAUACAUACUUUAUUUAUGCAUAAAUCGAGACUUACAACAGCUGUAAUCACACAACGAGAUCAUUCAAGAGGUUAAUUAAAAAAUAAAGUAAAGACUGUAAAAACAGAGCAAGGAUGCAUUUAAAAUCCUCUAGUUUGAAAUUAUGUUAUACAAUUUGUUAUACAAUUUCUUUUUAUACACACAUCUUAGGGAGAUAUUCGUAUAAUCGAUAAAAGAACGUUUUACAUCGACAUGUAAAAGAUUCCAAGGCAUUCUCAUAUGUAUUAAUUUGUAAAUAUUUUAUACAGAUGACUCAGGUUAAGAAAAAAGGAAUAAAUAAUGCAAUCUAUGUAAUUUCGAACCCAAUUUCUCAGACGUUUAUUUUCGGAUAUGUUGCGAAAACAUUAAUUAUUACAAAAUAUUAAACAGUAUUAUAAAAAUUGCCAUCUGAAGAUAUUUUCUAAUUCACAUAUGUUUCCAAAGUAUUAUUUUUAAUUUUUGUUUAAGAAAUAUUAUCCGAAAACAAAUUAAUAUGCCGGUAUUAGAUUCUUUUCUACGUUAUUUUAUAUAAUUUUUUAAUUACAAUGCUAUAUUAUUGAUUCGACUAUUUGCACAUAAUUUAUUCAUCGUGAAGUUUUCGUGUAAUGUUUCAAGUCAGAAAUUUUUAUUAACGAGCACAAACUGCAAUCUUUCUUGGCAUAUCAAUUUAUAUGUUUAAACUGUGUAAAUAUUCACAUCAUAUCGUAUAAUAUAAAGAUACCGCAUGAUUUUCGUCUCUGCGGCCUUGUCCGUGCGAUAACACCGGACAAAUGUCACUUCUGAUGUCGCCGAUACGCCGCAAUAUAUAGUAUAUAAUCUUGAUGUAUCUAAUGAAUCAUUGCAUGCAUUAAAUUGACCACGGUGAUACCCUAUUUGAUAUGAUGACAUUUUGGGUUUUUCCAAGGACCCGGCAAUCCAAUCACUUAUCCGCGCAUCUCUACAUAUUAAUCCCUCUGUUUACAUAUGCACAUACGUAUUAUGUACACGCGAGAUAUAUGUAUAUUUACCGCACGUACUUCGAGAUAUAACUUCUUCGAACACGAAACUACAGUCAGGGGUGCACAUCGUAUACGAAUAAAGUAUUCAAACGUAUUUUACAGAGCCAAGAAUAUCGUAUGUAACAACGACAGGGUUUGAGUAUUUGCUCGUGCACCAGUCUGUAUAUACUGAGAGCGCAGAACUGUCUGGCGAGUUAAUCAGCUACGUGUGGAUAGGAUCUAUCUAUCCGUAUCCGUACAGACAUGGAAUUACACGCAAGCUCUUACAGUUCUUCGUAAAUGCGUCCGGCAUAUCUCAGUCCCCUUCUUUCUCGUUAUGUAUCGAGAUAAAUUGUGGCUUCUGCUUAGCGAGCGAGAUGUACCUUUUCUUUGAACAUUCGUAGAAACGAGAACAUUGGCCGGCUGGAAAAUAUGGCGUUACGGAAUAACGUGAGAAAUUUCUAUGGAGAUAUUCACACACAAAUCACGGUUUGGCGAAUCAUUUUUGCAUCUAUUUUUCUUAGUAUUUAUCAUAUCAUGGUCUCAGCCAGCAAAAGAUACAUAUUUUGUUUUAAUUAGAACAAUUUACCCGUUUUAUGUCUUUCAUUGUACAAGAACUUGCAAAAUGUUGACUCAAAUUU